Molecule: ribosomal RNA, 500 nt
Filed under: uncultured bacterium
Lineage: Bacteria
Description: partial 16S ribosomal RNA
Rfam family: Bacterial small subunit ribosomal RNA
Source: RNAcentral
AUUGAACGCUGGCGGCAUGCUUUACACAUGCAAGUCGAACGGUAACAGGGUGCUUGCACCGCUGACGAGUGGCGAACGGGUGAGUAAUGCGUCGGAACGUGCCGAGUAGUGGGGGAUAACGCAGCGAAAGUUGUGCUGAUACCGCAUACGUACUGAGGUAGAAAGUGGGGGACCUUCGGGCCUCACGCUAUUCGAGCGGCCGACGUCGGAUUAGCUAGUAGGGGAGGUAAAGGCUCACCUAGGCGACGAUCAGUAGCGGGUCUGAGAGGAUGAUCCGCCAAACUGGGACUGAGACACGGCCCAGACUCCUACGGGAGGCGGCAGUGGGGAAUUUUGGACAAUGGGCGAAAGCCUGAACCAGCCAUGCCGCGUGUCUGAAGAAGGCCUUCGGGUUGUAAAGGACUUUUGUCAGGGAGGAAAUCCCUAGUGCUAAUAACACUGGGGGAUGACAGUACCUGAAGAAUAAGCACCGGCUAACUACGUGCCAGCAGCCGCCGUAA